GAAACUUCCUGUCCUAAGAUGAAAUCACAGGCCGCCAUGGAAUAGUCUCACCUACAUGUCUGGCUUUAAUGUUUAGGCUAGGAUUACCCCCUCCCAACUGGUAAGAAGUAAAUGCAUUUUCCGGUAGGCAUUUCACAGACUGCGUGACGCAGUGGUUGGUCUUAGCUGGGAACCGUGUACAACAUAAAAAGUCCACGUGGGCUGCUCCUCUGCUUUACAUUCCAGGAAGCGCUCUGACUGUAUGGGAGGCGCCUUAUUUCCAUAUGAAGUGUGAUUUGGCCGCUUUAUGACAGUUACUUGAGAAGAGUCCCAACUGUAUUAAUUGACUGGUAAUAUAGAGGUUAAAUUAUCUUUAACACUUACAUGUUUAGAAAUCUUUGCUUUGCCUGCCUGCUUACUUGGAAUGUAAGCAUGAGGGGAACGCGCUGUUGACGUCACUGAAGCCACAGCCAGGUAUCUAAGGCCUUAACGUUCUUAUGUGAUGCUAAGUGCACCGCCUUCCUAUGUUCUUCCUGUAACUAAUGUACGUAAUUUUGCCCAUUCUUGUAUUUACAAGAGACAGAUUUAAGAGUUAUAUUCUGAGUGUGUCGUAUGUCACCUUAAAUGACAUUUGGAAAAAAGUAUGUAUCAAAGUCAGAAAUUCUCAUCAGGGAAAAGUAAUAUUCUUAAUUUUUCUUUCUAUUAUCUUAGCUCAGAAGUUCCCCUAAAACGGAUGUUGUCUGCCAUGGGAUUUAGUUCUGGAUUGUAAUCAUCCGAAAUAUACCACUUUGAAAACAAGUUUUACCCAUAAGGUAAAAAAUACAGUUCCUUACAGGGUUUAUCCCUGAAUUGUAAUCUUCUGCCACUUUAAAAACAUUCAAGCACUAGUUUUCCCAGAGCUUUGCACAUUGCUUUCGGUGAUUCUGGUA
RNAcentral lists this long non-coding RNA (908 nucleotides) under Bos taurus (domestic cattle). RNAcentral's name for it is "long non-coding RNA NONBTAT015120". The record is from RNAcentral. Lineage: Eukaryota; Metazoa; Chordata; Mammalia; Artiodactyla; Bovidae.